CAAGAAAUAGUUUAAUAAAAAUAAUAACAUUGGAAGUUAUAGAUUAAAAAGUAAAUUUUAUUUUUUGA
RNAcentral lists this transfer RNA (68 nucleotides) under Enteroctopus dofleini (giant Pacific octopus). Its description in RNAcentral is "tRNA-Pro". Lineage: Eukaryota; Metazoa; Mollusca; Cephalopoda; Octopoda; Octopodidae. The record is from RNAcentral. RNAcentral also lists the same sequence under 1 other name.